Molecule: ribosomal RNA, 382 nt
Filed under: Escherichia coli
Lineage: Bacteria; Pseudomonadati; Pseudomonadota; Gammaproteobacteria; Enterobacterales; Enterobacteriaceae
Also listed under: 2 other names
Description: bacterial SSU rRNA
Rfam family: Bacterial small subunit ribosomal RNA
Source: RNAcentral
CCAGUGAUAAACUGGAGGAAGGUGGGGAUGACGUCAAGUCAUCAUGGCCCUUACGACCAGGGCUACACACGUGCUACAAUGGCGCAUACAAAGAGAAGCGACCUCGCGAGAGCAAGCGGACCUCAUAAAGUGCGUCGUAGUCCGGAUUGGAGUCUGCAACUCGACUCCAUGAAGUCGGAAUCGCUAGUAAUCGUGGAUCAGAAUGCCACGGUGAAUACGUUCCCGGGCCUUGUACACACCGCCCGUCACACCAUGGGAGUGGGUUGCAAAAGAAGUAGGUAGCUUAACCUUCGGGAGGGCGCUUACCACUUUGUGAUUCAUGACUGGGGUGAAGUCGUAACAAGGUAACCGUAGGGGAACCUGCGGUUGGAUCACCUCCUUA